AGGACGAACGCUGGCGGCGUGCUUAACACAUGCAAGUCGAGCGGUAAGGCCCUUCGGGGUACACGAGCGGCGAACGGGUGAGUAACACGUGGGUAACCUGCCCUGUACUGUGGGAUAAGCCUGGGAAACUGGGUCUAAUACCGCAUAUGACUGCAUUCCGCAUGGGGUGUGGUGGAAAGUUCUGGCGGUACAGGAUGGGCCCGCGGCCUAUCAGCUUGUUGGUGGGGUGAUGGCCUACCAAGGCGACGACGGGUAGCCGGCCUGAGAGGGCGACCGGCCACACUGGGACUGAGACACGGCCCAGACUCCUACGGGAGGCAGCAGUGGGGAAUCUUGCGCAAUGGGCGAAAGCCUGACGCAGCGACGCCGCGUGAGGGAUGACGGCCUUCGGGUUGUAAACCUCUUUCGACCGGGACGAAGCGUGAGUGACGGUACCGGUAGAAGAAGCACCGGCUAACUACGUGCCAGCAGCCGAC
Molecule: ribosomal RNA, 476 nt
Filed under: uncultured bacterium
Lineage: Bacteria
Description: SSU rRNA
Rfam family: Bacterial small subunit ribosomal RNA
Source: RNAcentral